Molecule: non-coding RNA, 180 nt
Organism: Oryza nivara
Lineage: Eukaryota; Viridiplantae; Streptophyta; Magnoliopsida; Poales; Poaceae
Source: Rfam
AAAAACUUAAUUCCUGGGUUUCUGGGUCUAACGUUUGACCGUCCGUCUUAUUUUAAAAAACUAUAAAAAAUUUUAAAAAAUAAGUAUUAUUUAUGUUUUAUCAUAUAACAAUAAUGAAAAUACUAAUCAUAAAAAAAUUUCAUAUAAGACGGAUGGUCAAACAUUGGACACGGAAACCUA